ACAACUUUAUUCUGCCCUCUUUCGAAAGUGUGGGCGUGAAGGGUGGGGGAGUGGUGUGGCAUGUUGCAGCGUGUUCUCGUGGAAAUCUUGCGUGCAGGUGUAGGUCACAUAGAGAAUAGAUAGGGCCAAGGUGGGACUCUGGUUAUAGAGGUCAGAGUAUGAGGGAGAGGUUUGGAUCGGACUUCUGGACCAUGGAUGUGGCAAGAUGCUUGGGGCUCUCUGAAUACUCAGCUCCCGUCUGUUCCCCAGCCAUUCUUCUGGUUUUGUUGGGGCACCACAACUAGGUGUCGGCGGGUUAGAUGGAGGCAGUUGCAUUAUAAGCAACUUAGAAACGUUCCGCAGGACCCUACAGCCCUCACCUUGCUCCCUGCGGUGUCCUCGGAAGCCGUAUGUCUCAGGUGAGGUAGCUGCAACAUGGAAGCAGCCUGUGCCUCAAAUCAUCACGGCAAGGACCGUCCCUAAGAGCUACCUGACCCUCACGGGACUGUGACAUAUGAGGGAGAAACAAGCUUUUGUUGUGCUGACACACUGCGAAUUGGCAGGACAUCAUUGCUUCAGGCUUGCCAUCCCUUACUGCCCGGGUCAGAAUCCAGGGCCCACGCUACGGCCAGAAUCCUGGGCGGAGGUGUGGGCAGAGGACAUCUACGCGGCACAGGGAGCCUAGAGCUCAAGUUCCAGUGGACCGUGCAGAGCCAGUCACGGGAUCAGAAUCAGAGGGAUCCUCAAGCAACAUCACUCCCCAUGUAAUGGGAGAGAGAUCCCUCUCUCUCUCUUUUUAAAAAAUAGGAACAGCUCCUUCUAUGGAAUACUCGGUGAAAUCUCCAUCCAUCCACCUGAAGUUUUACCAUAAGGAAGACAAAUUGAAACACAGGAAGCUGAUUUCAGAAACUUAGUUUGAAGCAGUCAUUCUCAUGUGGUUGGGAUCCAACCUGCAUCUCCUGUACCUUCUGCCUCUACUGCCUCAGGUAAUGAAUGACUCCUUGACACGAGUUAGCUCCUCAGCCUGAAAAGAGGGCCACCUGUGGUCUCCAUGCUUUACUUUCUCGCCAGCAAAGCUUGUCUGGACAUACUUCAGGAGGAUUUCCCAUGAAGACUGAAAUUGAAUUGGAUUUCUGAUGGACACUGGGCGGGUGAAAUCUCUCUCUCUCUCUCACGGGGUUUAGAUUCAGGUAGACUGGAGUUUGAAUCCCAACUCAGGUAUUCACCUUGACAUUUUGAGUAAGUGGGUCAUUACUGCCAUUCUCAACGAUUCAUCUACCUGGCUCAGAAGGUGGUUUUGAGGUGUAAAUAUUGUCAUGUAUUUUCACAAAUCUUCAGAGGAAGCCGCUAUGGCCGGACCCACACGGCUUAAUCAAGUGAUGAGCGAGAGAAAGCCCAGACCAGGGCAAAGAGAGGCAGAUAGAAAUAUGCAUUACGUGAUUACAUUAACUGGAAUGUUCUUAUGCAGUAAGAACUAAUUUGGAAAAAGACUGGCUUCAUGGUUUUCCAAGACACAAGAUAGUUAAGCGGGUUAUAUAGCAUUGAAAGACUUUAGAGGUAAAUGGAGAAGAAAAACAUUUAGAAAGUUUUGUUUUAAUUUCCAAAUGAUUUGCAGUACCACUUGCAAAUAAUUGCGAUGUUCAUUAUAAAAAAUAACCUUACUUUUUGAUUAAAACAGGUCAAGGGGGCACCUGGGUGGCUCAGUCGGUUGAGCGUUCGACUUUGGCUCAGGUCCUGAUCUCACUGUUCGUGAGUUCGAGCCCCAAGUGUUGGGCUCUCUCGCGGUUUGUG
Long non-coding RNA from Felis catus (domestic cat), 1770 nucleotides. RefSeq lists it as uncharacterized. NCBI's taxonomy places the organism in Eukaryota, Metazoa, Chordata, Mammalia, Carnivora, Felidae. The record is from RefSeq and is a predicted model, not a curated record. The transcript is spliced from 3 exons.